RNAcentral lists this non-coding RNA (29 nucleotides) under Cricetulus griseus (Chinese hamster). The record is from RNAcentral. Lineage: Eukaryota; Metazoa; Chordata; Mammalia; Rodentia; Cricetidae.
UUGAACAAAAACAUCAAGCAAAUGUACUU